RNAcentral lists this ribosomal RNA (463 nucleotides) under uncultured bacterium. RNAcentral describes it as "SSU rRNA". It matches the Rfam family "Bacterial small subunit ribosomal RNA", at positions 26 to 518 of the family's 1533-position model. The record is from RNAcentral.
AGGACAAACGCUGGCGGCGUGCCUAAGACAUGCAAGUCGGACGGGGGCUUCGGCCCCUAGUGGCGGACGGGUGAGGAGCGCGUGAAUGACCUGCCCGCGGGUGGGGAUAACGGCCAGAAAUGGCCGCUAAGACCGCAUGAGACCCGGUGCUGCGAGGUGCCGGGGGAAAGCCGCAAGGCGCCGGCGGAGGGGUUCGCGACGGAUUAGCUAGUUGGUGGGGUAAGGGCCUACCAAGGCGACGAUCCGUAGCUGGUCUGAGAGGACGGCCAGCCACACUGGGACUGAGACACGGCCCAGACUCCUACGGGAGGCAGCAGUUAGGGAAUUUUGGCAAUGGGCGCAAGCCUGACCGAGUGACGCCGCGUGCGGGACGGAGCCCUUCGGGGUGUAAACCGCUUUUCCCGGGGCGAGCGAGGACGGUACCCGGGGAAUAAGCCUCGGCUAACUACGUGCCAGCAGCCGC